AGGCGAGUUUGUGUCACCAUCACAGAGGUCGUAUCUGACGGGCUGUUAAAGGAGGUGAUCCGCCAGGCCGUUUCACCCCAGGCCGCGGCCACCCUGGGCCUGAACUCUUGGCUUUGCUGCCCCAGUGCCCUUUCCUCUCUCGGGUCCUUACCCCCAGUCCAGAGGCUGGGCCCAGGUGGGUGUGCACCCAGGGUUGUUCAGGCAGCCAGGGUCCUGUGCCCACCAGCGGGCCCUGCCUGGUAGGACUUUGCGGUCUGAGUUUGACUCCUAGGGUAAGAUUUCAGCCAUUCCGCUGGGGAGGGCAGGUCCUGGGGCCGGGACGCCUUUCUGUCUCUGCUGAGCUGUGGCUGCGGUCCUGGUGCCCACAGUGCUGAACGCUACGACCCCCUGACCGGAACGUGGACGUCCGUCGCUGCCAUGAGCACCCGGAGGCGCUAUGUGCGAGUGGCCACGCUUGAUGGGAACCUGUAUGCUGUGGGCGGCUACGACAGCUCCUCACACCUGGCCACUGUGGA
This 515-nucleotide small RNA is filed under the name Pan troglodytes (chimpanzee). RNAcentral's name for it is "retained intron". The record is from RNAcentral. Lineage: Eukaryota; Metazoa; Chordata; Mammalia; Primates; Hominidae.